RNAcentral lists this long non-coding RNA (339 nucleotides) under Betta splendens (Siamese fighting fish). RNAcentral's name for it is "lncRNA (ENSBSLG00000001311.1)". Lineage: Eukaryota; Metazoa; Chordata; Actinopteri; Anabantiformes; Osphronemidae. The record is from RNAcentral.
AUGAAACUGUGGCUUCACACGAGAAGCAAACUGAGCCUACUGAAUUACAAAAUUGAUGUCUACUACUACACUAUCUACAUCCAGCAUCAUUAUUUUAUCUUUUACAUGAUGUCUUGUUUUACAGGCCCUGAUUUGCGCACCAGAUUAUCUACUGUAGUGACAUCUGCUGAUCUGCUGGUUGCUGAUCCUGUUGUUCACAGGUUUUUGAUUAAAACUGAGAACCAGUCUCUUCCACUCUGCUUCAACGUACCUGGAGACACUCGCCUAAAACUUCUUCACCAUCCCAGUGAGGGUCAGUACAACAUUCCUUGCAAUUUCAUUGUUUCUUUAUUAUCUUAA